UACGCAGGGUGCGAGCGUUGUCCGGAAUUAUUGGGCGUAAAGAGCUCGUAGGCGGUGUGUCGCGUCGGCCGUGAAAACCUGCAGCUUAACUGUGGGCUUGCGGUCGAUACGGGCAUCACUGGAGUUCGGCAGGGGAGACUGGAAUUCCUGGUGUAGCGGUGAAAUGCGUAGAUAUCGUAAGGAAGACCAGUGGCGAAGGCGGGUCGCUGGACAGUUCCUGACGCUGAGGCACGAAGGCCAGGGGAGCAAACGGG
RNAcentral lists this ribosomal RNA (254 nucleotides) under uncultured bacterium. RNAcentral's name for it is "partial 16S ribosomal RNA". It matches the Rfam family "Bacterial small subunit ribosomal RNA", at positions 524 to 776 of the family's 1533-position model. The record is from RNAcentral.